AACGAACGCUGGCGGCAUGCCUAACACAUGCAAGUCGAACGAGACCUUCGGGUCUUGUGGCGCACGGGUGCGUAACGCGUGGGAACCUGCACUUAGGUUCGGAAUAACUCCCCGAAAGGGGUGCUAAUACCGGAUAAUGUCUUCGGACCAAAGAUUUAUCGCCUUUGGAUGGGCCCGCGUUGGAUUAGCUAGUUGGUAGGGUAAAAGCCUACCAAGGCGACGAUCCAUAGCUGGUCUGAGAGGAUGAUCAGCCACACUGGGACUGAGACACGGCCCAGACUCCUACGGGAGGCAGCAGUGGGGAAUAUUGGACAAUGGGCGAAAGCCUGAUCCAGCAAUGCCGCGUGAGUGAUGAAGGCCUUAGGGUUGUAAAGCUCUUUUACCCGGGAUGAUAAUGACAGUACCGGGAGAAUAAGCUCCGGCUAACUCCGUG
RNAcentral lists this ribosomal RNA (433 nucleotides) under uncultured bacterium. RNAcentral's name for it is "partial 16S ribosomal RNA". It matches the Rfam family "Bacterial small subunit ribosomal RNA", at positions 29 to 507 of the family's 1533-position model. The record is from RNAcentral.